Molecule: ribosomal RNA, 480 nt
Filed under: uncultured bacterium
Lineage: Bacteria
Description: bacterial SSU rRNA
Rfam family: Bacterial small subunit ribosomal RNA
Source: RNAcentral
AUUGAACGCUGGCGGAAUGCUUUACACAUGCAAGUCGAACGGUAGAGGGGGCAACCCCUCGAGAGUGGCGAACGGGUGAGUAAUAUAUCGGAACGUGCCCAGUCGUGGGGGAUAACGUAGCGAAAGUUACGCUAAUACCGCAUACGAUCUACGGAUGAAAGCGGGGACCUUCGGGCCUCGCGCGAUUGGAGCGGCCGAUAUCAGAUUAGGUAGUUGGUAGGGUAAAAGCCUACCAAGCCUGCGAUCUGUAGCUGGUCUGAGAGGACGACCCAGCCACACUGGAACUGAGACACGGUCCAGACUCCUACGGGAGGCAGCAGUGGGGAAUUUUGGACAAUGGGCGAAAGCCUGAUCCAGCAAUGCCGCGUGCAGGACGAAGGCCUUCGGGUUGUAAACUGCUUUUGUACGGAACGAAAAGGUAGCUCCUAAUACGAGCUGCCGAUGACGGUACCGUAAGAAUAAGCACCGGCUAACUACGUG